This is a long non-coding RNA of Stegostoma tigrinum, 1016 nucleotides long. RefSeq lists it as uncharacterized. The record is from RefSeq and is a predicted model, not a curated record. The transcript is spliced from 3 exons. NCBI's taxonomy places the organism in Eukaryota, Metazoa, Chordata, Chondrichthyes, Orectolobiformes, Stegostomatidae.
CACCGCUGUAACUCGGGACAGUCCUGCCCAUGGACGUCUUAAAACUUGCUCCCAUUGCUCGUGAAAUAAGGGAUCCUCGUUUCUCAUUUCGUUAACUGCGCUAAUCAGUAGGGGUCUCUACACAUUGAUGACAAAAGAGCUAUCUUGGAUAAGUUUCCUCCCUAAACACAGCACGGUGGCAUGAUGACUUUCAAUCAGCUAUGAUGGAUGAUGGGAAUGCAGCCUUAGCACUUUGGAGACGCCAGACAAGACCACCUGCUGCACUUACUUAAAUGGUUGAACACACUGAUUCUGGAAGUGCAAAGUCUGCCACUCGUGGUUGUCGCUUGCCAAUGGUGCAGAAUGAUCGCUGCUGAUACUUUGUUUACAGAGACAAUGUCUUCUUUGGAGCUUCUGAAAUGACAUCACAGAAUCCCUACAGUGUGCAAGAGACCUUUCAGCCCACGAGUCCACACCAACCCUACAAACAACAUUCCACCCAGACAUACUCCCUUGCUCUGUUCCUGCAACCCUACAUUUCCCAUGGCUAAUCCACCGAGCCUGCACAUUCUUGGACUCUAUGGGCAAUUUAGGAUGACCAAUCUACCUAACCUGCACAUCUUUGGAUUGUGGGAAGAAACUCAUGCAGACAGGGGAAGAACAUGUAAACUCCACACAGACAGUCACCUGAGAAUGGAAUUGAACCUGGGUCCCUGGUGUUGUGAGGCAGCAGUGCUAACCAAUGAGCCACUGUGUCGCCUUCUUUGCUCGGUUAGUGCUAGCAUGUAUAACAAGCUCGUCGUAGAAUGGGCAGCAAAGUGACUUUGUCUUUCCAUGACUGAGAGGAUGUACCCUCGACUAGAAGUGAAAUUUACAGAGUUUUUUUAUUGGUUUGUGUAAGUUGUCCAGGUUUUGUUGCCAUAUAUCAAUGUUCUGGGGACACAGGCCUUGGUCCUGUCCUUCAUCGCUGACAUGAAGUAUUGUAGAGUCGAAUGGUCAGUAAAUCUUAUACAAUAUCACAUUCAAUGAGUGUUAUU